CGAUCACUGGCCAACGUGGUUCGCCGUAGAAGUCACCAGUAUCGUCGGCUAAAAUCGUCAAGUGGGCCGCACCAUCAUCGAAGAGGAUGCCGGACAUUGAGGGUCGUUGCUGGAGGAACGACAUUGUCCGCAAUGGAGGUUUUAGGAGGGUUCCGUCGUCGCCGAAGAGGACUACUGAAUGUCGUGGAUCGUCGUUGGAGCAACGGGAAUCUCCGCCCAUCCCCGAGCUACACGCCCAUUAGGUCGAUGGAGGAAAAAAGAUGGUACGGUUGAGUAUUGCCUAUUGGCAUUUUUCUACUUUAUUCCGCGUUAUUCGUGUAUGGUAGAAACUGUUGCUCUUGUCAUUUAUUCCUUCCCGUUAUUUUCCCUUAAACAUUACGGCGUACGGUUUAACUUUCACCGAGGACGCAAAUUCACUACACCUAUAGACCACGGUUCGUUCACGGUUUGUUUGCGUUUUUGCACGGUUUGUUUGCGUUUUUACACGGUUUGGGAUUAGUGGAUCGGGUAAUGUAGUUCUUCUUUCAUUGGUUUUAUGCCAAGUAUUUAGUUGGUGCAGGUUUACUAACACUUGCUACUUCUAAAAUAAAAAGUAAAACAAAUUAAAUAUAUUUUAUGUCUGCAUGCUCUUUUUUGAGUAUGGUUUCGUGACCACUGUAAUACAGGAAUAAAUUAAUAAUCGCGUGCGGUCUGGUUGCUAACCCCGAUUUGACAACCCGAUAAAAACGUGAUGGGGCAGUAACCCUUCUAACCUGCCCCAUAGACAAGAAUAAAUAAUUCGCUGAACAACAAACCGGUUCGAGCGAAACGGGUUUGUUGGGCUCAUUGGCCCUACAGUUUUUCUCAACGGAUUUGGAGGUAUUGCAACGCUGUCUUUUUUGAGUUUUCGUCUAUAUGCAAGAUAUAUCCUACAAACUGACAAGAAUAACAAAGUUGUUCAAUUAACUGGAAAUGUGUAUGUGGGAAAGUGAGACAUGUCGUCGUGACUUAAAAAUUAAUGCUCAGCGAAAAAAGAUAUUAGGAGCAAAUUAUGAGGAAUUGAAAUUUAUAAAAUAUUUCUUACCGAUUGGGUUUUAUUUAAUAAACCACCCCACGGAAAAUAAUAAAAAUAAUUGAUGUAAAAUAUAAAGCACUUCUA
This is a long non-coding RNA of Daphnia carinata, 1138 nucleotides long. RefSeq lists it as uncharacterized. Lineage: Eukaryota; Metazoa; Arthropoda; Branchiopoda; Diplostraca; Daphniidae. The transcript is spliced from 3 exons. The record is from RefSeq and is a predicted model, not a curated record.